This 90-nucleotide transfer RNA is filed under the name Roseovarius mucosus. Its description in RNAcentral is "tRNA-Ser". It matches the Rfam family "tRNA". From Rfam's summary of the family: Transfer RNA (tRNA) molecules are approximately 80 nucleotides in length. RNAcentral also lists the same sequence under 12 other names. The record is from RNAcentral. Lineage: Bacteria; Pseudomonadati; Pseudomonadota; Alphaproteobacteria; Rhodobacterales; Roseobacteraceae.
GGAGAGGUGCCGGAGUGGUCGAACGGGGCGGUCUCGAAAACCGUUGUGGGGGCAACCCCACCCAGGGUUCGAAUCCCUGUCUCUCCGCCA